GACGAACGCUGGCGGCGUGCCUAAUACAUGCAAGUAGAACGCUGAAGGAGGAGCUUGCUUCUCCGGAUGAGUUGCGAACGGGUGAGUAACGCGUAGGUAACCUGCCUGGUAGCGGGGGAUAACUAUUGGAAACGAUAGCUAAUACCGCAUAAGAGUAGAUGUUGCAUGACAUUUACUUAAAAGGUGCAAUUGCACCACUACCAGAUGGACCUGCGUUGUAUUAGCUAGUUGGUGGGGUAACGGCUCACCAAGGCGACGAUACAUAGCCGACCUGAGAGGGUGAUCGGCCACACUGGGACUGAGACACGGCCCAGACUCCUACGGGAGGCAGCAGUAGGGAAUCUUCGGCAAUGGACGGAAGUCUGACCGAGCAACGCCGCGUGAGUGAAGAAGGUUUUCGGAUCGUAAAGCUCUGUUGUAAGAGAAGAACGAGUGUGAGAGUGGAAAGUUCACACUGUGAC
RNAcentral lists this ribosomal RNA (461 nucleotides) under Streptococcus mitis. RNAcentral describes it as "bacterial SSU rRNA". It matches the Rfam family "Bacterial small subunit ribosomal RNA", at positions 28 to 473 of the family's 1533-position model. Lineage: Bacteria; Bacillati; Bacillota; Bacilli; Lactobacillales; Streptococcaceae. The record is from RNAcentral.